Molecule: small nucleolar RNA, 82 nt
Filed under: Bemisia tabaci
Lineage: Eukaryota; Metazoa; Arthropoda; Insecta; Hemiptera; Aleyrodidae
Description: small nucleolar RNA SNORD34
Source: RNAcentral
CAAUAUCGCAUGAUGAGUUUCUUUAACCUUACCUACAUUGUCUGAUUUCUGUAAUGAUUUCACACCAAUCUCUGAGAUAUUG